RNAcentral lists this ribosomal RNA (497 nucleotides) under uncultured bacterium. Its description in RNAcentral is "partial 16S ribosomal RNA". It matches the Rfam family "Bacterial small subunit ribosomal RNA", at positions 28 to 507 of the family's 1533-position model. The record is from RNAcentral.
GAUGAACGCUGGCGGCGUGCCUAAUACAUGCAAGUCGAGCGAACAGACGAGGAGCUUGCUCCUCUGACGUUAGCGGCGGACGGGUGAGUAACACGUGGAUAACCUACCUAUAAGACUGGGAUAACUUCGGGAAACCGGAGCUAAUACCGGAUAAGAUAUUGAACCGCAUGGUUCAAUAGUGAAAGACGGUUUUGCUGUCACUUAGAGAUGGAUCCGCGCCGCAUUAGCUAGUUGGUAAGGUAACGGCUUACCAAGGCAACGAUGCGUAGCCGACCUGAGAGGGUGAUCGGCCACACUGGAACUGAGACACGGUCCAGACUCCUACGGGAGGCAGCAGUAGGGAAUCUUCCGCAAAGGGCGAAAGCCUGACGGAGCAACGCCGCGUGAGUGAUGAAGGUCUUCGGAUCGUAAAACUCUGUUAUUAGGGAAGAACAAAUGUGUAAGUAACUAUGCAUGUCUUGACGGUACCUAAUCAGAAAGCCACGGCUAACUACGUG